Non-coding RNA from Anas platyrhynchos (mallard), 1583 nucleotides. The record is from RefSeq and is a predicted model, not a curated record. NCBI's taxonomy places the organism in Eukaryota, Metazoa, Chordata, Aves, Anseriformes, Anatidae.
ACGUUUGGCUGUGCCGGCCGCAUGCAUUUUUCGGUUAUCAGGAAGAAAUUCAGUUCAUGUUAUUUCAGCCGAAAACAGGAGCCACAGAAGAAGCUUCGCAAGGACUCUCCAGAAGCUGGAGGAAGAAAAUGCCAGGAAGGUCCUCUGUCAGCCCACGUUCUUGCUCUCCCCACUGCUUUGUCUGAGCUACGUGAGCAGCGGUGCCUCAUCUACACAAUGAACAAGGGAAGUGAAAGGUUGCAGGAGCUCCACAGGGAUGCACUGAGGCAGACGAGUAAAUACUCGUAAAGAUUUAUCUUCUGGGAUCUCCCUGAGAGAGAGAAAUGGAGCCAUGGAAGCCAGUCAUACAAACUGCUGUAGGUUUUCCAACUGCAUCAACACUUGUGAAGCUGAAAAUAGCCACCGGGUCUAACUGUGUUAGUCGAAGCACCUUCUCUGUUCUCAUUACCAGAUCAUCUGCUACAAGAACCAGCAUCAUGCACGCAUACGCUCAGGUAUAAACACAAAUUGACAAGAAUCAGGAGGACCUGAAAUAUCUAGAUAAAGGAAGCCUUUUACAGAGAUACAGUGGAAGAAUUAGCAGGGUUGUCUUUUGUCCACUCUUGGCUUUCUGAGAGGAUCUGGGAAGGCAGCCUUGUUAGUCUUGUUAAUAUGCUAACUAUAAGGACUGUGCAACACAAAUUCUUUCAACAACCUGCUAGUGUUAGAAAGACAUAAAAUAAAAUAAUUAAUUUAGGAACAAAAGUCAGUAAGAUUUCAUUAUUGAUUGGGAAUUCAAUCGAAUAACAACAACAAAAAAUGUGUAUGCUUAAACAUGAAAGGUCCAAAGAUGUUAUUGUUUUGUCAAAACAAAUUGUUGAAGAUAUCUCUGUUCUGCAUGAAAAUAGAUUUAUUGAAAAUCUUAAGUGGCAUAGUUCCCCCAUUUAUCAAAUGAUGUUCUGUGGGGUUUUGUUUUGAGUACUGAGCAGUUGCAUCAAAAUCUUUUUAAUUUGGGGAACUGUGACAGUUCUUUUUUAACUUCUGUUUACCAGUUCUUAAAAAAUUAAGAAAAAUAUAUACUACAUAAUUCUAUCUUGGCAUGCUACUGUGUGACCAUCAUGAUGGCAAAUGUUUGUAAUAAAAUCAGUUAAUAAGCAAGCCGCUAUUUUAGCCACACUAACUUCAAUCCCAGACCUAGUUUAAGAAGUAUCUUCAUGUAGGACAUUUAUUUUUCUAUUUUUCGCAUGUCUGUUAAGGCUGGUAUAAUCAAGAGGUUAAUUAGAAUCUUAAACGCAUAGUUCACAUGUUGAGAGAUUUGUCUCACUCUAUGAAAAAAAGCUUUAUGACAUCGGAGAGUGUUUUUAUUAUUAUAAUUGCCCAUUUUGAAGAAAAUGUCUUGUGUAUUGGCAGCAUGAGAGCCCAAAUGAGAGACUAUAAACAUUUUAAAAUAGUAAAUCCCCAAUUUUCUUUUAUUAUUUAUAAUACUUGAACUCUCUUGCUUUCUUGAUAUUCACAUUGCCACAAAGUUCCUGAAGCUAUACUUAUUGUGCCAUCUACUAUGUUGUGAGUAUAAAGACUGUACAGAACUGCACACAAUAAAAAAC